Molecule: ribosomal RNA, 477 nt
Filed under: Bergeyella zoohelcum
Lineage: Bacteria; Pseudomonadati; Bacteroidota; Flavobacteriia; Flavobacteriales; Weeksellaceae
Description: bacterial SSU rRNA
Rfam family: Bacterial small subunit ribosomal RNA
Source: RNAcentral
GAGUUUGAUCAUGGCUCAGGAUGAACGCUAGCGGGAGGCCUAACACAUGCAAGCCGAGCGGGAUUUGUUAGUUAGCUUGCUAACUAACAAUGAGAGCGGCGUACGGGUGCGUAACACGUGUGCAACCUGCCUUUAUCUGGGGGAUAGCCUUUCGAAAGGAAGAUUAAUACCCCAUAAUAUAUUGAUUGGCAUCAAUUGAUAUUGAAAGCUCCGGCGGAUAGAGAUGGGCACGCGUAAGAUUAGCUAGUUGGUGAGGUAACGGCUCACCAAGGCUGCGAUCUUUAGGGGGCCUGAGAGGGUGAUCCCCCACACUGGUACUGAGACACGGACCAGACUCCUACGGGAGGCAGCAGUGAGGAAUAUUGGACAAUGGGUGAGAGCCUGAUCCAGCCAUCCCGCGUGAAGGACUAAGGACCUAUGGUUUGUAAACUUCUUUUAUACAGGGAUAAACCUACUCUCGUGAGGGUAGCUGAAGGU